GACGUAGGGGGCGAGCGUUAUCCGGAGUUACUGGGCGUAAAGGGCACGUAGGCGGUGCGACGCGUUUUGCCAGACAGCUGCCGGCUUACCUGGCAGAGCAGGCGAAAGACGGUCGCACUUGAGGGCCAGAGAGGGACCUGGAAUUCCGGGUGGAGCGGUGAAAUGCGUAGAGAUCCGGAGGAACACCGAAGGCGAAGGCAGGGUCCUGGCUGGUGACUGACGCUGUGGUGCGAAAGCCAGGGGAG
Molecule: ribosomal RNA, 245 nt
Filed under: uncultured bacterium
Lineage: Bacteria
Description: partial 16S ribosomal RNA
Rfam family: Bacterial small subunit ribosomal RNA
Source: RNAcentral